GCGCCCAUAGGCUAAUGGAUAGACCGUGGCCCUCCGAAGGCUGAGAUGCAGGUUCGACUCCUGCUGGGCGCGCCA
RNAcentral lists this transfer RNA (75 nucleotides) under Rickettsiales bacterium. RNAcentral's name for it is "tRNA-Arg". It matches the Rfam family "tRNA". From Rfam's summary of the family: Transfer RNA (tRNA) molecules are approximately 80 nucleotides in length. Their secondary structure includes four short double-helical elements and three loops (D, anti-codon, and T loops). The record is from RNAcentral. Lineage: Bacteria; Pseudomonadati; Pseudomonadota; Alphaproteobacteria; Rickettsiales.